This 73-nucleotide transfer RNA is filed under the name Siphonaria gigas (giant false limpet). RNAcentral describes it as "tRNA-Asp". Lineage: Eukaryota; Metazoa; Mollusca; Gastropoda; Siphonariida; Siphonariidae. The record is from RNAcentral.
UUUGAUCUGGUUUAAAUUACUCUAAAACAUGCGCUUGUCGAGCGCAAGAUGCGCUUGAAUGACGCGGUCAGUU